This 512-nucleotide ribosomal RNA is filed under the name Psammophis phillipsii. RNAcentral describes it as "partial 16S ribosomal RNA". It matches the Rfam family "Bacterial large subunit ribosomal RNA", at positions 1816 to 2597 of the family's 2925-position model. Lineage: Eukaryota; Metazoa; Chordata; Lepidosauria; Squamata. The record is from RNAcentral.
AACCUUUAGCUAAACCAAAUAUUAAAGGCAACGCCUGCCCGGUGAACAAUUAAACGGCCGCGGUACCCUAACCGUGCAAAGGUAGCGUAAUCAUUUGUCUAUUAAUUGUAGACCUGUAUGAAAGGCAAAAUGAGGGCCUAACUGUCUCUUAUAACUAAUCAAUUAAACUGAUCUCCCAGUACAAAAGCUGGAAUAAAAACAUUAGACCAGAAGACCCUGUGAAGCUUAAAUAAAACUAUCAAGCCAUAUGAUAGCUAAUUUCGGUUGGGGCGACCUUGGAAAAAAAAAGAACUUCCAAACAAAAAGCUUUAUAUAGCAACAAACCAAAGGCUAACAGGCCAAACAACGACCCAGCACCGCUGAUUAAUGAAACAAGUUACUCCAGGGAUAACAGCGCUAUCUUCUUCAAGAGUCCAUAUCAAAAAGAAGGUUUACGACCUCGAUGUUGGAUCAGGACAUCCUAAUGGUGCAGCCGCUAUUAAGGGUUCGUUUGUUCAACGAUUAACAGUCCU